AUACGUGUGGUACUUUUCUUCCUUUUCUCCUAGAAUAUCUUUCUUUCCUCUACUCUCACUAAAACUACCAUUUCUCACACUUUUCUUCUUUUUCUUCCAGAUCUUUCUUUCUCUGCUCUCACUAUCUUACAACCAUUGUUGCUGUCAUUCGUUAAUACACCCAGCAAUAUGGCUCAAUUUUGGCUUCUAAAAUGGUUUUCUUCCUGUGUAAUUGUUGUGUACGCCAAGUGUUUGUAUAAUUGCUUUCCUCAAUUCAUUUUUGUUAGGGUUUAGGCUUAUGUAUUAAUGAAUAUUUUGCGCCUAUAAGAGAUAAUCAUUUGGUAUGAACAACAAUUUGCUGGAUUUUUUU
Long non-coding RNA from Helianthus annuus (common sunflower), 349 nucleotides. RefSeq lists it as uncharacterized. The transcript has 2 exons. Lineage: Eukaryota; Viridiplantae; Streptophyta; Magnoliopsida; Asterales; Asteraceae. The record is from RefSeq and is a predicted model, not a curated record.